CGUAUGCAACCUACCCUGUACUGGGGAUAGCCCGGAGAAAUCCAGAUUAAGCCCCCAUAGUAUAUACCAUUGCAUGUUUGGUAUAUUAAAGGUUACGGUACGGGAUGGGCAUGCGUCCGGUAUCUANAUNNUAANGUAACGGCUUACCAUGGCAACGAUAGGUAGGGGGCUGAGAGGGUGAUCCCCCACACUGGUACUGAGACACGGACCAGACUCCUCGGGAGGCAGCAGUGAGGAAUAUUGGACAAUGGGCGGAAGCCUGAUCCACCAUGCCGCGUGCAGGAAGACUGCCCUAUGGGUUGUAAACUGCUUUUAUUGGGAAUAAACCCCCGCUCGUGAGCGGGGCUGAAUGUACCAAACGAAUAGCACCGGCUAACUCCGUGCCAGCAGNCGCGGUAAU
Molecule: ribosomal RNA, 400 nt
Filed under: uncultured bacterium
Lineage: Bacteria
Description: bacterial SSU rRNA
Rfam family: Bacterial small subunit ribosomal RNA
Source: RNAcentral